Molecule: long non-coding RNA, 2325 nt
Organism: Syngnathus acus (greater pipefish)
Lineage: Eukaryota; Metazoa; Chordata; Actinopteri; Syngnathiformes; Syngnathidae
Exons: 2
Source: RefSeq, a predicted model, not a curated record
ACGCAGGAAGGCCUGUGGACAUUAGUACAAUCAAGGUAGCAUUCAAGAGCUAUCGUGUGUGCAUUGUAGAAAACUUAGCAAAUUUUUGCCAUAUUUAGCUAACCAGACCCCUCUAGCAACUAUUUUUCACAACAAAAAAAAAGGCAGAAAUAAUGACAGUGGUCCUAAAUGUUGGCAACAUUUGUAAUUCCUGCACGGUGGAAGAAAGAGGGCCAAGACGAUAUCAUUCCAGUUUCUCAUGUGGCCUCUUUUCAAAAGUUGUCCAUCCUUGAUCCAGAGUCUGUAUUGGAGUUAUACCUGUGAUUUGACUGUUUCCAUUGGAGACUAUAAAUGCAUACUUUAUUAGUCGAUUACUGUGACAACCUGGGUUCCCUUGGGAACAACAAAUUUGAAUCCAUCCAUACAUCAAGUACUUUUCUUUGCAAUAUAAUAGCCCAUUAAUCAAUCAAUAAUCAGGUAAGUUUCUGACGCAAAAUCAAAAGUGCAUCUUGGAGACUGACACAUGGAUAAAAAAAUACUAGUGAAGCGUGCGUACCCCUGACAGCCGCACACACAAGCAUUUUUGCAAAACAGAUGAAGCCACCGUCGCCCCGGAAAUGCUGAAAGGGCAACUCUUCCCUCCGUAAGCAAUUUCUCGCGCCCCGGUACUGUAAUUAUAUUUCCCGCAUCAGCCAACAUCUCCCCGUCGGUGACCUCUGUAAAUAACGCUAAUAAAGCUCACCGGUGCACCUCCCAAAGAGCGUCCACUUGUCAGCCAGAGUGGCCUGGACGGUCAUGGUGACAAUGGGCCAUUGAAGGGAAGAAGAGGGGACGUGGCCAGAGGGGCCUGGCGGCGUCUGUGUCUGCAGAGCCUCCGACAAUGCUCGCCCCUGACAGCUUUGCAUAAUUCAUCUUGUCGAGGCGCUCUCCUGCUCUCUCCUGGCUGUCGGUGCUAAGGGUAUAUGGGGGGGGAGGGGGUUAGAGGGGGGAGUCAGAGUAGCAUUCCAUCAGAUGAUACCUGUUUUUUUCCGUGUAUUUUUGGAGUUUGACUGCAGCACAUUGCUUCGACUCUGAAUUUUGAAUGCCGUUGCAACCAGAUUGUCUUCUUGGUGGAGGCUCAACGCCUGAAUCCAUUUGACUCUUCCAUCUUUAAGGCUCACUCACGCUUCCAGUAGAUGGGGAAUAGAUGCAGGAGCAUUGUAAAAAGGUGAUGGGCUAUCAUAUCAGGGGUAGGAUAUGUUCUAUAAUAUGAAAAAUAUCAAAACUGAUUACCACCAACUUUGUAGAGCGGUGGUGCCUUGGCCCAGAGCCAAAAUGUCCCGUGUCCAGUCCUGCUUUAAUGUUCCUGACGGAAUUUUAAAAAAUGAUACUAUAGACCAGGGGUCUUUCAGGAUUAUUAUGAGGUUGAUUAUUUGAAAGGUGUGUUGGAGCAGGGAAAAUUAUAAAAGGCUGCAUAGGGGCUCUCGUGUAACCGGACUUGGACACAUUUUGACUGGAAUCAUGAUUGGAAGCACCAAAGUAAUCAGUGGAAUUUUCAAUGAAAAUGUCAGCGUUCCAGUCAAUGUCGAUGGAAUCUCAGACACACAGUCAAUAUAGCGCCAAUGUUUGUCUCAUUGGAAUCCCCGAUCGAAGCGUCAAUUGAUUAGAGCCAUUUAUGAACUAUCAUUGGAACAGCCAGUGAAGCCUUCAAUGAAAAAAACCAAUGGAAUGUCAAUAGAAUGUUCUAUUAAAGAACCAUAAUGGCACAAAUAUUAUGACAGGUAUGGACCAUGAAAAAGGAAGUAGUCAACAAACUAAUAAACAUGCUGUGUUUUUUUUUUUUCGUGUUUUUGUGAAAUGUAAGACUUUGCCUUUAGCACAUUGUCGUAAACUUUGGACACUGUGAGAACCAGAUUGUCUUUACCUCUGUGGAGGCUCAGCGCCUGAAUCCAUUUGACUCUUCUGUUCUUAUACUGCAUCCAAUUGUACAUGUACAGUCCUUAGGCCACCAUGUGUUUGAGCAAUGCUCUAAAGGGUGUUUCUGAAAAAAUGCAUUUUUAAAAGCCACCACAAAUUAAACUGAACUCCUAUAUCACGACAUAAAAAUGUACAAAAGUAUUAUUUUUUUAAUUUGAUAUAGUAUGGAAAAUAAUAGGUAAAGGACAAGAAGGUAAAGGACAACCAGCCACUCUUGUUAGCUGAUGUCAACAUAAAACUACCACGAUUGUUGUUUUUAUAGUAUCAUAAAUCCGAAGUUCAAACUUUUACUGCAUCCUUAAAAAGUGACUAUGCCGCAUAAAAACAACGAUUGAUAUUUCCUAAAAGAAGAAACCGUACUGGUGUUGUAAUUUCCAAAAAAGAGAAACA